RNAcentral lists this ribosomal RNA (460 nucleotides) under uncultured bacterium. Its description in RNAcentral is "partial 16S ribosomal RNA". It matches the Rfam family "Bacterial small subunit ribosomal RNA", at positions 338 to 795 of the family's 1533-position model. The record is from RNAcentral.
CCUACGGGAGGCUGCAGUGAGGAAUAUUGGUCAAUGGACGAGAGUCUGAACCAGCCAAGUAGCGUGAAGGAUGACUGCCCUAUGGGCUGUAAACUUUUUUUAUAAAGGAAUAAAACGAGGUAAGUGUGCCUUUUUGCAUGUACUUUAUGAAUAAGGAUCGGCUAACUCCGUGCCAGCAGCCGCGGUAAUACGGAGGAUCCGAGCGUUAUCCGGAUUGAUUGGGUUUAAAGGGAGCGUAGAUGGGUUGUUAAGUCAGUUGUGAAAGUUUGCGGCUCAACCGUAAAAUUGCAAUUGAUACUGGCAGUCUUGAGUACAGUUGAGGAAGGCGGAAUUCGUGGUGUAGCGGUGAAAUGCUUAGAUAUCACGAGGAACCCCGAUUGCGAAGGCAGCUUACUAAACUGUGACUGACAUUGAUGCUCGAAAGUGUGGGUAUCAAACAGGAUUAGAUACCCUGGUAGUC